This 253-nucleotide ribosomal RNA is filed under the name uncultured bacterium. RNAcentral's name for it is "partial 16S ribosomal RNA". It matches the Rfam family "Bacterial small subunit ribosomal RNA", at positions 524 to 776 of the family's 1533-position model. The record is from RNAcentral.
UACGUAGGUGGCAAGCGUUGUCCGGAUUUACUGGGCGUAAAGAGCGCGCAGGCGGUCGUUCAAGUCGCGUGUGAAAGCCCCCGGCUCAACUGGGGAGGGUCACGCGAUACUGAUCGACUCGAAGGCAGGAGAGGGUAGUGGAAUUCCCGGUGUAGUGGUGAAAUGCGUAGAUAUCGGGAGGAACACCAGUGGCGAAGGCGACUUCCUGGCCUGUUCUUGACGCUGAGGCGCGAAAGCAUGGGGAGCGAACGGG